RNAcentral lists this ribosomal RNA (164 nucleotides) under uncultured bacterium. RNAcentral's name for it is "partial 16S ribosomal RNA". It matches the Rfam family "Bacterial small subunit ribosomal RNA", at positions 355 to 511 of the family's 1533-position model. The record is from RNAcentral.
UAGGGAAUCUUUCACAAUGGGCGCAAGCCUGAUGGAGCAACACCGCGUGAGUGAAGAAGGGCUUCGGCUCGUAAAGCUCUGUUGUUAAAGAAGAACACGUAUGAGAGUAACUGUUCAUACGUUGACGGUAUUUAACCAGAAAGUCACGGCUAACUACGUGCCAG